This is a long non-coding RNA of Triticum dicoccoides, 1155 nucleotides long. RefSeq lists it as uncharacterized. The transcript is spliced from 5 exons. NCBI's taxonomy places the organism in Eukaryota, Viridiplantae, Streptophyta, Magnoliopsida, Poales, Poaceae. The record is from RefSeq and is a predicted model, not a curated record.
CAGUCCUGACAAUAUCAGGGGCGGCGGGUUCUUCACAUCGGGGGCUAGCGAGCAGGGGAGGGUCAGGAGGCUGACAGGGCGUGCUAACGAGCAGCGAGGUUGGCGGUGGGGAAGCGGCUGCCCGGAGAUCCAAGCUACACCUCGCGGUGUCUGGUCUCACCAGGCACUCAUUGCCGGCCUCGCCGGCAUCCCGAGGUGGCACAACGACGGCCGCGCUCAACACCCUCUUUCACGACUCGACGACGGCCUAGCGCCAUAGGCGGCUCAUACGGUGGUCCAGCGGACGGCGGCCUCAGUGGGUGCUCGACGACGACCGUAGCUGGUGCACGAGCUUGCACUCAACCAGUCUAGACUCAACUCCUCAUAUCGGGUGCGGACUGAGAGUUGGAUGCUCUGUGCCAGCAUAUGGAUGUGUUGCGACACUGUUGCUUCGGCUGUGAGUGGUCCAGGAUUGCAACCUGGUGUCAUCCACUUCCUACUCACAGGUUACCGUAGUGUUAUGUAAAACAUACCCAAGCUCUCGUUCCUUAAAAUUAUCCAUCUAUUAACUGGAUUAUGAAUAAUUGCUCUUGCAAGUGAAUUUUCAUUACGUGCGUUGAGGAGGAUGCGCGGUCUUCAGACUCGGUGAUUUCUGGUUUUUUUCAUUUGAUCAUUUCUGCAGAGAUUGUCCUUCUAUGCAUUAUUUGGUAACCAUCUACUACAGAUCAGCUACUACCCUGCUGCUGCCCUUGUGGUGAAUGAUUGAUGGUGCAUGUUUUCAUGACCCUCCACCACCACUUGCUAGCAAGUACUACAUCAUACAGCAACAGACACCAUGGAUCUACUUCUGCUACUCAUCUCGCUUCUUAUGGUCACUACAGGAUAGGGAAUCUGGCUUGCGAGUUUUGCCGAUGCGACCAUGACGGCGAUGCCAAACUCUGAGGAGAUACCAAAGGUGUACUGGUAGGUGGUGCUUCCUGGAAUCCCAAUGCCUCCACCUAUCAUCAACCUGCUAUUAUCCCAGCAAAAUGGUCACAAAUUCCACCUUGGUGACCUCAUUUAAGUGAUUUCGGUAAUCGGUGGUACAACUUACCCUCUUUGAUACCUACAAAUUCUUCAUAAUGACUCUUAGUUUGCAAUCCAUUACGAAACAUUAAUGAAGAUAAUAUAUGUGAA